UCUAAUAUGGCAGAAUAGUGCAAUGAACUUAAGCUUCAUACAUAGAGGAACAACUCUUAUUAGAA
This 65-nucleotide transfer RNA is filed under the name Arbanatus sp. RNAcentral describes it as "tRNA-Leu". It matches the Rfam family "tRNA". Rfam says of the family: Transfer RNA (tRNA) molecules are approximately 80 nucleotides in length. Their secondary structure includes four short double-helical elements and three loops (D, anti-codon, and T loops). The record is from RNAcentral. Lineage: Eukaryota; Metazoa; Arthropoda; Insecta; Hemiptera; Aradidae.